This 74-nucleotide transfer RNA is filed under the name Microcaldota archaeon. RNAcentral describes it as "tRNA-Arg". It matches the Rfam family "tRNA". From Rfam's summary of the family: Transfer RNA (tRNA) molecules are approximately 80 nucleotides in length. Their secondary structure includes four short double-helical elements and three loops (D, anti-codon, and T loops). The record is from RNAcentral. Lineage: Archaea; Nanobdellati; Microcaldota.
GGAGCCAUAGUAUAGCCUGGAUAGAAUACGAGCUUGCGGAGCUUGGGACCGGGGUUCGAAUCCCCGUGGCUCCG